GGUUCCAUAGUGUAGCAGUUAGCAUGUCUGCUUUACAUGCAGAAGGUCCUGGGUUUGUGCCCCCAUGGAGCUA
This 73-nucleotide transfer RNA is filed under the name Pteropus alecto (black flying fox). It matches the Rfam family "tRNA". Rfam says of the family: Transfer RNA (tRNA) molecules are approximately 80 nucleotides in length. Their secondary structure includes four short double-helical elements and three loops (D, anti-codon, and T loops). The record is from Rfam by way of RNAcentral. Lineage: Eukaryota; Metazoa; Chordata; Mammalia; Chiroptera; Pteropodidae.